Molecule: non-coding RNA, 601 nt
Organism: Macaca mulatta (Rhesus monkey)
Lineage: Eukaryota; Metazoa; Chordata; Mammalia; Primates; Cercopithecidae
Source: RefSeq, a predicted model, not a curated record
UCAUUUGAGGUCAGGAGCUCGAGACCAGCUUGGCCAACAUGCGUAUCCAGCGAUCUAGCUGUCAUCGGUCUAUUCAGUCAUCUGCUUAACCAACUGAAAUGUACACGUACCUGCCAGAAAUGAAGGAGGCAUAUAGGCCAGGCAGCCAUUUGAUUGAACACUCAACUGUACAAUAGAGGAUUCUUCCUGGUGCAAGUAACAUAAAACAUGACUCAAACCAUCUUAAGCAAAAAAUGAAAAAAAAAAAUGUACAGGCUUUCUUUACACAAAGUGUAGGGGCAGGUCCAAUUUCAAGUACAGCAUGAUGCAAGGGUCCAAUGACAUCAUCUAAAUCCUGUGUGUCUCUGUCUCCCCCUCUUCCCUCUUUCCCCGCAUUGGCUUCAUUCUCCAGCUCCAAUGCCAAUGGUUGCUGGCCCCAUGUCCCUUCAAGUUCAAGUCCAGGGGAAAUAUGAAGAGCCCCAGCACAAGUCUCACUGCGUCUCAUUGUUUCAGGCCACCCUUUCUGAAGGAGUCGAUCCCCUGUCCCUUGUUACUCCUAUUUCCCAUUGCUCUGUUUUAUUUUCUUCAAAACACUUAUUGCCUAUUGAAAUUAUGCUAAGUA